AGCGAACGUUUGCGGCGGGCCUAACACAUGCAAGUCGAACGCACUAGCAAUAGUGAGUGGCGCACGGGUGCGUAACACGUGGGUAAUCAACCCUUCAGCUUGGGAUAACGACUUGAAAGGGUCGCUAAUACCGGAUACGGCGCGGGAGGCUUCGGCUUCUCACGAGAAAGCCUCGCAAGGGGCACUGAAGGACGAGCCUGCGGCCCAUCAGCUAGUUGGUGAGGUAAGAGCUCACCAAGGCGAAGACGGGUAGCUGGUCUGAGAGGAUGAUCAGCCACACUGGAACUGAGACACGGUCCAGACUCCUACGGGAGGCAGCAGUGGGGAAUAUUGCGCAAUGGGCGAAAGCCUGACGCAGCACGCCGCCGUGAGCGAUGAAGGCUCGGUCGUAA
Molecule: ribosomal RNA, 392 nt
Filed under: uncultured bacterium
Lineage: Bacteria
Description: bacterial SSU rRNA
Rfam family: Bacterial small subunit ribosomal RNA
Source: RNAcentral